GUCGGGUUGGAUGGAUAACCGACAGAUGAGCUCAUUAGCCAUAGGACAGGAAUCGGAAGAAGGAGCAUUAUGGAGAGUUAUACCACGUAUUGGUUUAUAUGAUGUUGUGUUAAUUAGAUAAUCUUUUUUUUCUCUCGUCUUAUUACAAUUUUUUAAGAGGAAUAGGGGUUGUAUGUUUUAUAUGUAUAUUAUGUUAUAAGCUAUUAUGUAAGAAGUCUUGUAUAUAAACAUAUGCCUGUUUGUUUUUUUUUUUUUUACCUAAAGUAUUUAGUUCUGAUUUUUAAUGAAGUCAGCGAUACAGUAUCGAGUCAAAGGCUCCUAUUUUAAUAUUAAGUAUAUAAAGUUAGUUGUAAUACUUCUUAUUAUCAAAAUAGCGCAACAAAAAGCGUAAUAUUCUGAUAAUGAGGGUGUUACAUAUGUUGUUAUGAA
Long non-coding RNA from Arachis ipaensis, 429 nucleotides. RefSeq lists it as uncharacterized. The record is from RefSeq and is a predicted model, not a curated record. NCBI's taxonomy places the organism in Eukaryota, Viridiplantae, Streptophyta, Magnoliopsida, Fabales, Fabaceae.